Populus nigra (black poplar) is the source of this 3775-nucleotide long non-coding RNA. RefSeq lists it as uncharacterized. NCBI's taxonomy places the organism in Eukaryota, Viridiplantae, Streptophyta, Magnoliopsida, Malpighiales, Salicaceae. The transcript is spliced from 2 exons. The record is from RefSeq and is a predicted model, not a curated record.
CUCCACAUAAACAAACUGAAACCCUACCCAACACUCUUUUGUCCCUAUAAAAGGACGUGAUAAGCAAAGUAAGCAGUCGGCUGUCAUCUCCAAAGUUCCCAUCCUCUAAUUCAUACGUCUCUUCAACCAUUACUCUCCUGGUAUGGUGUAACUGUAAUCUAUUUUAUAUUUUGAUUUUUCUAGUAUCACAAUUAGUGGAAGAUUUCAGGGAAACAUGUUUUUGCUCUCUCUUUUGUUCAUGAAUUUCAUCAUACAUAGUCAUCGAUUGUGAGAAUGAAACAUUACGAAUAUAUAUUCUAUUUGUGCAAUCAAAUGGAAUAUAAAAUUUUUCAUUUAUAAUUAUCAUUAACAUAGCUUUAAUAGAUGGAUGGAUACUGUUUAGCAGUGAAAUUUGAAUAAGGUACUUUGUAUAAUUAUGUAUAAUUGCGUUUAUGAUUAAGCUAGUAAUCCUUCUUUGCAAAGUCAUUUAUUAUUUUUCCUUUAAUUACUAUAAUCAAUGACUUUGCAAAGAUAGAUUUACUAGCUAAAUCUUAAAAGCUUUUGGAAGCGAAGCGAUGCCACAAUCGGAUGAAUGCUUCAGAUCCCCUCAGCAAAAUCUACAGAUAUGCUUGCUUGAUUCUUUAGGUAUAUGUACUGUCUUAUGUAUUCGACAAACUAUUAACUUUUAUUGAUUUUCAGGCUGCUACAACAUAUAGUGUUGUAAUACUACUUGUUUCCAGUAUGCUAAUAGGGUUAUGUUACACGGCGCAACCAGUGCUUUGAAUAAAUUAAGAUCCCUACCAGCUUUCAGAAAGAUGUGCUGAAUGAGAGAAUAACAUUAAUGAUUUGUGAUUUUGUGUGGGCUAAAGUGAAUACAGCAGCAGCAGCAGAUGUGCUGUGGUGACAUUGUAGUAACUUCUUGUUCCAAUAUGCUAACAGUUAGGUUAUAGGUGCUGAAACGCUUGAUUUAGUGCUAAUGUGUCAUGAUUUUAAGCUCUUUAUUGUUUUUUUUCCUUGCAACAGCUUGUAGUAUUGGACUCUUAACCUUUAUUCCCUUUAAUUAAAAAAUGGUACAGUAAGCUCUUUGUGAAAGAGAUGUGAAAUUUCAUGCAAGCUCAUUAAAUACCCUUUGUUUGAUUGUGUCAAUUAGUUUUGUAAUAUCGUAUAGGGUUUAUUUUGAACUGAGGAGCCAGGAUAUUUAAUUUGUCAAGAUUUUGCCUCCGAAAAUACCAAUCUGCCAAGAUUAAUUGGAGUUUAGAGGAGACAAAAUAGAAAUUUGUAGAGAUAUUCAACGCCAUGCACAUGAAAAAUAGUGAACGUACACCUUUAAUAAAAGAUUUCUACCCUUUUUGACUGUUAAAGUAACUUUAACACAGGAUUCUUCCACACUUGCAAGAACUCAUUGAUUUUAAACCAUUGGAUUCUUUCUCACCUCUUGCGUUGGAUUUGUUUCUUAUAAAGCUUCCUUUUAUGUCUAUGAUGUGUUUUUUUGAUAGCUUUUGUAGUUUUAAUGUAAGGUUUCCUUUGAGGUGAAAAGUUUUGGAGUAAGGUAAAAUAUUCAAGGUGUAAAAAAAUAUUAAAAUGAUAAGUUUUGGAGUAAGGUCAUAAAAUGAGCAGAAAUCAUAAAUGUGUUGGUCCACCCUUGAAUUUCAAACGAGAUUAGAUUUUGUAACGAGAAAUCAGCUAACUAAAAUGCAUGGCAAAAUAAGCAUUCAUUCUGUAGAUACAAUGUCAUCUGCAUCUUAUUGAUAAGGAUUUUUCAUUUGUUCAAGAUAAUAAAUUUUAAAUUAUUUAUAUUUAUCCUCGAAUAUUUCUUUCUUUUUUAAUCUUGAUAGCAAGAACAAUUUGGGUGGAAAAGAAGAUGAUGUGUUUUCAGCUUUUGCGUCAGAGUGCUAAACAGUUGAAUAAUUUAUAUUUAUAUUUUUGUUUGAAUAAUUUACAAAAUGAAAUUACCAAACUCUAGCUUAGCCACUUUGGUCCAUAUAAAACGACAUGAUUGCCAAUGCAUAAGCCGUCCGCUGCCAUGUCCAAGGCUUCCCUCAUCUUCAUCCCUUCCUUUCUGGCUGUCUCUGCAUUUACAAUCCCAAAAAACUAAUCGAAAGUCGUAUAGGAAUUCCACCAAAGAAAAAAAACCGCACGCAUCUCAAACUCCCUUUCUUUUUAUGGAAGGAACAAGCCUUAUCCAUGUCACCUAUCUUCUCUUUUAUAUCAGACAAUAGAGUCAACCAUGGCAGUCACUUAGUCGCUUCAGCUUUUAUUGAUUCUAUAUUUCAUCUUCAACAGCAAUUGGGUAUGGUGCAAUCACGUUUCUAGUUUGAUCUUCGCACUUAUUCAACUAGAACGAGAUACAAGAGCAAAGAUAUGAUGGGUUCUUUGCCAUUCUAUUGUGAGAAUGGAGCAUUUCGAAUUUUGAUUUCAACCAUUCUCAUUUUAACUUGCAUGGAUAUUGUUUAGGAAGUGGAUUGGUUGAAACUUAGGUAAUAUAAUGCAUUUUCUUCAUGAAAUUUUUUAUUCUGUUCAAUAACAAUAAUUAAAAGUAGUUAAGGCAAUACAAUUUUUAUUUGAUGCCUUUGCUUCUUUCAAUAUGUAAUUAUCAAAAUUAAUUGUGAUAAUGAAGCAUUACGGAUGUAUAUUUGUUUUGUUCAAACAAACUGAACAUUUUCUUAUGAUAAUAUGUAUUCAUUUUUUUAAAAUUUAUUGGAUUUAAUUUGUUUAUGAUGCUAGUGUAGAUUAUUUGAUUUUCUGAGUUAUUGAAUUCAGAUUUUCUCAUUUUCUGUUUUAACUUUUGGCUAAAUCUAACUGCCUUUAUCUAUAUGACUGUUGAUUCAUAGCCGGAGUUGUCAAUUGUGCUCUUCUUUCUUCUUCAAUCAACAUAUGUUGAGUAGUUUUUGCAUCUGCUGUGUGAUUGAUGUGUUGGACAGGAGGAUAGCAUCCCUGCCUUGCUUAAUUAUGUAUAGGCUGAAGUUAAUUCAGCAGUAGCAGUGGAUCAUUUCAGCUGAAUGGUUUUAUCUCAAAUUAUAGCAGAUUAAUGUCGAAUCAGAGAUUAACCUUUUAAACUUUAUUAUUACUUGCUGUACCAUUCUGUCUGGCUUUGUGCACACUUAAAAUGUUCAUAGACUUGGUGAUAAUUGUGCCAGUGCCUUAAAUGGGAUGCUGCAUUGCUCCUCGCCGCUAAGCUAGCGGUCUGUCUGCUGGAGCUGUCUUCCUUCAAAACAGAUUGAUGUAAAUGCAGAUGGGAGCCCAUUUAGUAAAAUCUUGGCCCUUUGGUUCCAGGUGUUUUAAUUAGUGAUGGACAUGGUUGGUUGAUACUCGCAUCACAGGUUCCUUUAUGCUUAUAUGGACCAUAACAAAUAUGGUGGCAACAAUAAGCUUGGAAUUGGGCAUCAAAAAAUGUUAUUCUUGAAUCAGAUUCCCAACAGUGCUGUUGCAAGCCUGAUCAGAUGAGCUCAUCUAUCACCCUUGUUCUGUAUUGCUUGAAGCCAUUAAAGAAAUUUUGCAGGGAAGAUGUGCUGCGUGAUGCAUAUGAACCUGUGCAGAUAUCUUAGCUAAGAUGGGUGCCUCUUAGCACAGUGAUCUUCUGUUUUGGUCUUCAUCCCCAUCUAAGCUCGUACAGCUCUGUUUCGCUUUUGUUCACAGUACCAAAAAAGGCACCAUGGAUGAACCAGCUUGCCCAUAAUGGUGACAAGGUGUGAAACAAAAUAACUUUUCAACAACAGAGAUUUCAGAAACACAAUUGUAAAAUUAUUCCAUUCAAUUCAUGGCAUUUAAUUAACGCGGCCUCAAUAUUUUUGCUUUA